This 9196-nucleotide unclassified non-coding RNA is filed under the name Haliotis rufescens (red abalone). RNAcentral's name for it is "fAD-dependent oxidoreductase domain-containing protein 2-like, transcript variant X5". Lineage: Eukaryota; Metazoa; Mollusca; Gastropoda; Lepetellida; Haliotidae. The record is from RNAcentral.
AAGCCACGAUCACACUUGGCUGUGAACACUACUAAGGAGCUGUAUGCAAACUAGUGGUAAGGUAGCUCUCCCGAGAAGAUUAACCUAACAGUCACACUGUAUUCGAUGUAGUGGGAGACUUCUUCACCAGUGAUAAUUUAUAAAAACCAGGUGACGCAAUGAUUGGUCCUGACCUCACCGUAAGUGCCCCGACCCGUGUCUUCCAUUCCUUGCUGCUGAUUGGCUGCCUGCUCUUCCUCACCUCCGCACAUGCCUCCUCAUCCUCAUCGUCCUCACAUCGGCAUGACUACUGCAUCAUUGGCGGCGGGCCCGGUGGACUACAGCUUGGCUACUUCAUGGAACAAAAGGGCAGAGAUUACGUUAUUUUUGAAAAAUCAAAUGUUUCUGGAAACUUUUUUACAGUAUAUCCUCGCCACAGAAAAUUGAUCAGUUUAAACAAGCGCUACACUGGCCAGACAAACAAAGAAUUCAACAUGCGGCAUGACUGGAACUCCCUGCUGAGUCAUGAUGAAAGUCUGCUGCUGAAACAUUACUCCAAGGAAAUGUUCCCCCACGCUGACGUGCUGCUCCAUUACCUGAGAGACUACGAGAGGAAGCUGGGUAUCAACGUCCAGCACAACACGGAGAUUAUGGCUAUAAAUACCGUAAAGGAUGCUGCCAUGCCGGACGGACAGUACUUCUCUCUCGAUGAUCAAAACAAGAACAAUUAUCAAUGCAGAUCUGUGAUAGUUGCCACUGGCCUGUGGAAGCCCAACAUCCCCAACGUCCCCGGGAUUGAAUAUGCUGUUGGUUAUGAAGAUGUGUCCAUCAAUACUGAUGACUUCGAAGGACAGACAGUGCUUAUACUUGGUCGAGGCAAUGCAGCAUUUGAAACAGGGGACGCCAUCUAUGGUUCCACAAACCUUAUACAUAUGGUAGGGAGAUCACGUGUCCGGUUGUCGUGGGCAACACACUAUGUGGGAGACCUCAGAGCUGUGAACAAUGGCCUGCUGGACACCUACCAACUCAAGUCACUGGACGGAGUUCUUGAGGCAUCCCUAAGUGAGGUGAAGUUUGUCAAGACGAAGGACGAUAAAUACGUUGUGGCACUCAAUACAGAAGAGGAACAGGAGGUGGAGUUGUCUUAUCUUGAUAACUUCGCCAUGAGGGAACCAUAUGACAAGAUUAUUCGCUGUCUGGGAUUUGAUUUUGAUGAUUCUAUAUUUACAAACUCUUCCAGAGUAAGUCGAGGAAAAGGGAGGUCCAAGAAAUACCCCUUGAUCAAACACAACUAUGAGUCAAUGGAAGUGCCAGGGAUGUUUUUUGCUGGCACGAACACCCACUCUCUCGACCACAGGAAGUCUGCGGGAGGCUUCAUCCAUGGCUUCCGAUACACAGCACGUGCUCUUCACACGCUGCUGGAGUGGCGGUAUGAGGGAGUGCAAUGGCCGUCUAAGAAGCUCCCCAUCACAGACCUGAUGAGCUACCUGCUGAAGAGGAUGAAUGAAGCGUCCGGCAUCUACCAGAUGUUCAGUGUGCUAGGAGAUGUUAUACUCCUCAAUGAAGAUGGCUCCAUGUUUGAAUACUUUGAGGAAUUCCCCAUCAACUUGCUCCAUCAGUUUCCCUCCGUUACUGGACACCCUGCUACCAGAGUUAUUGCCCUUGUCAUGCAAUAUGGGGCCAACUUUUCGGGACCAGGAAACGACAUAUUCCGUGUGGACCGAGCGACUGGCGAGCCUUCCGAAGCACAUCACUCCAACUUCCUCCACCCUGUGUUGUACUAUUACGACCAGCUACCCACAGAGGAACAGAUGAAGUAUCGAUUGAAACGAGAUAUACUUCCUCGACCAAAGUUGAUCCACCAUAUUGUGGAAGAUUUCCUCACGCUAUGGGACGCCCCCCUCAGUCACGUCCUACCCCUUAGACGAUACCUCGAUCAAAUCCUUGACACUGAUACCCGCCACUUCUUCACGGAAACUUGUUUCAAGAUGGCCAUGACCCAUGCAAGCGUUCCCUUGACCUGUCAGAAACACUACCUUGAAGGUCAAGGUCUGACUGGAACAAGUGCUCUUCGUCGUAAAGCAUUUGAAAUUGGACUAAUGGCGUAACAGUGAGAGAAAUACAAUCCUGUUUCCCUGUGAUAUGCAAAAUCUGCCCUAAUGUUCUUGUUGAACUGAUUCUUUUUCCCAAAUCAGAAUGUAUUUUUGAUGUGUAGAUCUGAACAUAGGUUUUUGUCUGAAGAAGUGGUAUAUGGAGAUCAACUGCAGAGCACAGACGUGCAGUAAACUUGUCAAAUAAUACGUCUUCUUGCCAAAUAAUGUACAAACCCAUUGCCUUCUGUUUGUAAGAAAACAGGUUCCUGUAAGAGUUAUCUCCCAUGCAACAUGCAUCUAACACAGACGUAUCGGUUUCUAUCUUAGUCUUGUUAAUUCAUGGCUAUUAGUGGAUCUUGUUGAGUAUCUUGAAUACCAAAGUUGUCAUAUCAUGGUGUUAGGGAUAAUAGAACUGUAGCUGAUCACGAUGUAAAUUAUAUAUCAGGGAUGUCACAGUUAGACUUUUUCUCUAUACGAUAUGUAUCGCAGUACUUUAUUCGUAGCAAUUUUGCUUGAAUUUAUAUAUUUCAUAAGGCAUAAAGAUUAUUUAAAAGGUUAGAAACUUCCUGAAUAUGUCGACGGAUAUUUGAAAAAAGAUACAUGUAUGUUCUUAUUUCAAUCAAUACCCAUACUUUAUCCUGGAAAAAACUGGACUGUCAGCACCAGUAAGACAAAGACUUGAACAGAAUUUAUAUCUUAAAACUGUGUACAUUGUAGAUGAAGUAUAAAUUAAUAAUGAUAAAAUUGUUUAUUAUUAAUGUAAGUACGACACAUUUUGCCAUUACAGUCAUAAAUAUGCCAUGUGUGACCGAAACAGGAUUCAAAUAUGAAUCGAUACAAGAUUGAAAUAUGAAUCGAUACAGGUAGGUGUGUAUAGCAUAGCACAUCUUCUAAGAAUGAUAUUGAUGUAGUGGUUUAUUGUGACAUCCCUAUUCGAGACCCUGACUGUGUUCAGGAUGGAAUGACUGAAGGGUGGUUAAAGGGUUGCCAGCACACAGCAUGUUACUUUCAUGAUUUACUUCGUAUCUUGUUUAUUCAAUGAGUUGUGCCAUUUUUAAUGCUGUUUAAUUUGCUGCUGACAUGGAAUAUGCUUUCCUUAUGAACAGUAGUUUUUAGAAGUAUAUGUUUUGAAGGUUCUCCUGAUAUUUUAUCAACUAGUUACUGAUAUGCUGUUGGACUAAUCCUAUCACUGCAUGCUGUAAUAGUGGUUGUUUUCGUCAGAUUUGUAACUGAAUAAAAGGGACACUUUUAUACGUACUGGCACAUUUGACAUGAGUUAUUAAGCUGAGUGAAUUAAGUUGCUUGUGCCUCUCAGCCUACACUUCGUUGCCCAUGUGCUCGCCGCUUCUGCUGCAGAUCUUGUUCACCUUGCCUUGUGUGUGCAAAGGUAAAGGUCAGAUCUUGUGAAUUCUAAGGAAAAUUUGUGUGCUAAUAUUUGAUACUUAAUCAUAAGACUCUACUUACCUAAUAAGGAGACAUGACCUGUGGUUUUAUGGAUUUAAUCCAAGGUCAAGGUCACAAGUUCAGAUCCUAAAAACAUGGCAAGAGCGUUUGGGCUAAUUAUUUCAGUUUGCCUGAUGAGAUGAGAUGAGAUGGCAAUAGUCUGUCAGAUAAGAUGAAUUAUUAAUACGUUCAUCAGCAUAUUGUCAUAACUUUAGAAAUUUUAAUAUGGCUGCUGUCAAUUCACUGUCAAUAUUUUAACAGUUAAGGGUGUAUUUUGUCAUAGUUUGUCAAUCACAUUUUAGGAUCUUCAUGAAACUGGGUGUCCAUAUCGUUUAUGAGGUUCUAUUGUUUUGUUGCUAUAUAUCUAACGGUCAAGGUUGAGGUUUUUUUUAUAACUGAGAGCUUGAGUUGUAUACAUCUCCGUUACUGUAGAUGCAGUGUUGAAUUGUUGGUUUGUGUCCUUCUGAUGAAGAUGGUGAUUGGAUGGAAUCAGUUUCAGCUAAUGCUAACAUCAUUUUUGGUCUGUGUAUAGAUGUGUCAUGAUACCACAGGGUCCAGCUAAUCCUAUUAUGGUAACCAGCUACAGACACUGUUCUUCUUGUAGAACUGUACAUGACACCCUGGUGUCCGAACACCAGCUACACUACAGGUGAAAGACACAAAUUCCAGUAGAAUGUACAUGACACCCUGGUGUCCGAACACCAGCUACACUACAGGUGAAAGACACUAAUUCCAGUAGAAUGUACAUGACACCCUGGUGUCCAAACACCAGCUACACUACAGGUGAAAGACACUAAUUCCAGUAGAAUGUACAUGACACCCUGGUGUCCGAACACCAGCUACACUACAGGUGAAAGACACAAAUUCCAGUAGAAUGUACAUGACACCCUGGUGUCCGAACACCAGCUACACUACAGGUGAAAGACACUAAUUCCAGUAGAAUGUACAUGACACUCUGGUGUCCAAACACCAGCUACACUACAGGUGAAAGACACUAAUUCCAGUAGAAUAUACAUGACACCCUAGUGUCCGGACACCAGCUACACUACAGGUGAAAGACACUAAUUCCAGUAGAAUGUACAUGACACCCUAGUGUCUGGUCAUCAGCUACACUACAGGUGAAAGACACUUAUUCCAGUAGAAUGUACAUGACACCCUAGUGUCCGAACACCAGCUACACUACAGGUGAAAGACACUAAUUCAAGUAGAAUGUACAUGACACCCUGGUGUCCGGACAACAGCUACACUACAGGUGAAAGACACUUUUAUUCCAGUAGGAGAGGCAGAUAUACACGUUAUGAUGUCAUUUAGUCAUUCCUAUUGAUGUUUUUCUUUUCCCUGGUGAUUGAAAGAGAUUUGCGUUACUGAAUCAGUGAAAGUGCAGUUAUUUUAAAAAAUGGGGAAAGAACAUUAUGAUGGUGCUAACUCUAGAGCAUAUCCAAAAUUGGUGUAUGGGUAUUUGUCAAAUAUCAAAUAAUUGUGUAUGUUGCUAUCAGAUAUACCAAGACCUAAUGAAAAUUAUUCAUAUUUAUGGUGUUGCUUCUACUUCUACUCAUAGAGCACCACUAUUACCCAUCUCCUUACUCUAGAGCACCACAACACUGAUCUUUUCACUGCACCACCAAUACCCAUGCCCUUACUCUAGAGCACCACAACACUGAUCUUUUCACUGCACCACCAUUACCCAUCUCCUUACUCCAGAGCACCACAACACUGAUCUUUUCACUGCACCACCAAUACCCAUCUCCUUACUCUAGAGCACCACAACACUGAUCUUUUCACUGCACCACCAAUACCCAUCUCCUUACUCUAGAGCACCACAACACUGAUCUUUUCACUGCACCACCAAUACCCAUCUCCUUACUCUAGAGCACCACAACACUGAUCUUUUCACUGCACCACCAUUACCCAUGACCUUACUCAUAGAGCACCAAUAUUACCUAUCUCUUUACAAUUAUGAGCAUCACCAACAGCCAUUUCCUUACUCAUAAGAGCACCACCAACAGCCAUUUCCUUUCUCUUAAGAGCACCACCAACACCCAUCUUCUUACUAAGUUAGCAAUACCUGUCUCCUGUACGACUGAAAACAGACCAAUAAAAGCACCACCUUCAGAGCACCACCAACAGCCAUUUCCUUACUCUUCAGAGCAGCACCAACAGCCAUUUCCUUACUCUUAAGAGCAUCACCAACAGCAAUUUCCUUACUCUUCGGAGCACCACCAACAUCCAUUUCCUUACUCUUAAGAGCAUCACCAACAGCAAUUUCCUUACUCUUAAGAGCAUAACCAACAGCCAUUUCAUUACUCUUAAGAGCAUCCCCAACAGCCAUUUCUUUACUCUUAAGAGCAUCACCAACAGCAAUUUCCUUAUUCUUCAGAGCACCACCAACAGCAAUUUCCUUACUCUUAAGAGCACCACCAACAUCCAUUUCCUUACUCUUAAGAGCAUCACCAACAGCCAUUUUCUUACUCUUAAGAGCAUCACCAACAGCAAUUUCCUUACUCUUAAGAGCACCACCAACAGCCAUUUCUUUACUCUUAAGAGCAUCACCAACAGCCAUUUCCUUUCUCUUAAGAGCACCACCAACACCAAUCUCCUUACUAAGUUAGCAAUACCUGUCUCCUUACUCUAAGCACCAUCAGUACCAUCUCCUGUAGCCUUGUGUUGCCCCCUGUCCUAUCCUGUCUAUUUCUCUACAGUAUUACACCCCUUCUUGCUCACAGUAGUGGUAGCGUAUGCUAGUGUUUGUGUCCAGCCUUGAGCUUGCUGGAACAGUUGUGUUUCUCUCCAUCAUUGUUUUAGUCUGCUAGGAUCUUGCUGGGACAGUUGUGAGUGUGUCCAGCCUUGAUUUAGUCUGCUAGGAUCUUGCUGGACAGUUGUGCUUUCUUCUCCAUUGUUUUAGUCUGCUAGGAUCUUGCUUUGACAGUUGUGAGUGUGUUCAGCCUUGAUUCAGUCUGCUAGGAUCUUGCUGGGACAGUUGUGAGUGUGUCCAGCCUUGAUUUAGUCUGCUUGGAUCUUGCUUGGACAGUUGUGAGUGUGUCCAGCCUUGUUUUAGUCUGCUAGGAUCUUGCUGGAACAGUUGUGUGUCCAGUCUUGUUUUAGUCUGCUAGGAUCUUGCUGGGACAGUUGUGUGCCCAGCCUUGUUUUAGUCUGCUAGGAUCAUGCUGGGACAGUUGUGAGUGUGUCCAGCCUUGUCUUAGUCUGCUUGGAUCUUGCUGGGACAGUUGUGAGUGUGUCCAGCCUUGUCUUAGUCUGCUUGGAUCUUGCUGGGACAGUUGUGAGUGUGUCCAGCCUUGUUUUAGUCUGCUUGGAUCUUGCUGGGACAGUUGUGAGUGUGUCCAGCCUUGUCUUAAUCUGAUUGGAUCUUGCUGGGACAGUUGUGAGUGUGUCCAGCCUUAUUUUAGUCUGCUAGGAUCUUGCUGGGACAGUUGUGAGUGUGUCCAGCCUUGUUUUAGUCUGCUUGGAUCUUGCUGGGACAGUUGUGAGUGUGUCCAGCCUUGUUUUAGUCUGCUUGGAUCUUGCUGGGACAGUUGUGAGUGUGUCCAGCCUUGUCUUAGUCUGCUUGGAUCUUGCUGGGACAGUUGUGAGUGUGUCCAGCCUUGUUUUAGUCUGCUAGGAUCAUGCUGGGACAGUUGUGAGUGUGUCCAGCCUUGUCUUAGUCUGCUUGGAUCUUGCUGGGACAGUUGUGAGUGUGUCCAGCCUUGUCUUAGUCUGCUUGGAUCUUGCUGGGACAGUUGUGAGUGUGUCCAGCCUUGUCUUAGUCUGCUUGGAUCUUGCUGGGACAGUUGUGAGUGUGUCCAGCCUUGUUUUAGUCUGCUUGGAUCUUGCUUGGACAGUUGUGAGUGUGUCCAGCCUUGUGCUGGGACAGUUGUUUGUCAUAGUUCACAUUUAUAUUUAGCUCCCACAAAUCAAUAUGUCCCUCCUCCCCUGUAUCUGUGUUAUCUCCACCUUGGACAGGAAAAUACAAACUAGGGCUAUGUAUGCUUUAUUUUACCCUUAUACUAAUGAAUGACAAAAUCAGACACUGAUAUGAGGAACAUGUGUUGCCUUACUUACUGAAACCGCUGUACAGGACAAGUUGCAAGGAGUCUCCCACUGCUCAUCCUUGGGACUUUCAACUGUGUCGUGUAUAUGCACGCCUUGAAGUAGACCAAUGAUCCUAGAGCUACAGCAGCGUCUGUCAGGCUCUUUGAUAUAAGAUUAGGCGUCACAACGCGCAUUUUGAAAGAACAAGUGAAUAUUUUGAUGUAAUCAAUUGUUCUUCAGUUGGCCAGAACUUUAUAUCAGGAUCCUGUUCGUCAAGGUGAUCGUAGCACUAGAAGUGUCAUAAGUGAUAUUCUCAAAGAUUUCGGGGCCAAUCAUUGUGCAAUCUGGUGAGGGAGAAUUGAAAAUCCUGGAAAAUGUCCUUAGAUUUUACAUACAAAAAUCAUUUACUGUAAUGCUGGUUGGUCUGAAAUAAAUGUGUUCUCUGAAUUCCUUUGAACCCAUUGUACCACUAUGAUGAUUGUAACUCCCCUAUUUAUACAAAGGCUUCUAUACUAGUCGCACUAAGAUAGCUCUGUCGAAUUGGGACCCAUCCUUAAUGACAGUUUUAGAGCUACAGUUGCCGUGUGUAACAAGCCCCGGAGAGUUCUCUACAGUCCAUUCUGGACAGGACAAACUCUGAUGUGGGGAAUAACAGCUGAACUUUGAACAAAACCUCACGGGUGAAUAAUAGCUAUAACGCCCUGAGUUUUCAGUCGAAUGGUUAUAACUGGAGUUGAGUGUAUAUAAUGGAUUUCAUUUUCUGAAAGCUCUGCCUGCCUCCCAUGUUCUGACAUGAUCUUGUGUUUGUGUAUUGGUGGUGGCUUGUUGACCUAAUGAAAGUCUAUUAAUCCUUUGUUGUUGAUAUUGUCAUUCAGACAGUUUGUUUCCUGUUGUUACCAACUGUGUUAUAAUUAAUGUCCAUUGUUGAAACUGAUUUGAUUAACCUUUUAAUGGUCACUUACCCGAAGAAAGCAAUAUUACUGAGCAGAACUUCAAAUUGUCCAGUGUAGCAUCACACCUGUUUCAUGUUGGAACAGACACCUGCCUGUGUUGCAUUAUAUGCAUAGAUUCAUGUUUUGUCUCUUCAUACAUUUAGAAUUAUAUUUUAAAUGCCAAAAAUGCCAGAAGCCCGGCAUGGCUUGACCAGACAGUGCAUGAGCAGGUUAAGUGUGACGAUGUCUCCCUAGAACUACCCAAUUAUUUGGAUGGAACACACAACUUAAGUUCUCAAAAUGAUGAAAUGUUCCAAUCAAAAGUCAUUACAAUAAAGAUUUGUGCUGUUACAGAGGCAUUCAGGAGGUUGGAUACAGACAAUAGCUGUUUAUUAUUACUAAACAUUGCACAGGUUAAAUAUACACUUCAUGGUUGUCCUGUUUCUGGUUCCUUUAGUUCAUUGUGAAAAUCAAGUUUUAGGGUUCGGAAGUACUGCGAAUAUUGUGUGUAAAUCCCUCAAAGAGCGUUCUGCCUUCGUGGUCAAACCUCACUGACUGGGUCAGCUUGACCUUGCUAGGUCAUGUUGACCUAUAGUUGGAUGUUCUUCAACUACCAGUAUGUUUGAUGGCCUGAGAUUGGUAGGUUAAAGUGACCUCUCCUUCUGAAGAUGUUGGGGGAACCUAUCUGUAAAUACUACUACCAAUAAAGUAUUUUUCUAAACA